Molecule: long non-coding RNA, 1259 nt
Filed under: Homo sapiens (human)
Lineage: Eukaryota; Metazoa; Chordata; Mammalia; Primates; Hominidae
Description: HSALNT0345290
Source: RNAcentral
UAGCUGGGCUUGGGGCGGGGCCGAGACGGAGCGAGGGGUCCAGGGUGUGGGAAACGGGGAGGGGUUUGAGGAGGGGAUCGGAAUGUGGCUCAAGUUCGGGAGGCGUUACCUGCGGAGGGUUUGAGGCAGGCCCAGGAGCGAGCCCAUGGUCUUCCGACGCGGGGCCAGGGGCGGGGCCCAGGAUCCGGAGCUUCGUGCGGGGCCGAGUCCAGGUUUGGGGCCCGGGAGGCGGGGCCAGUUAGGGCGAGGGUCCCUGGGAUCGUCGGGUCAGGCCUUGGGCUAACGUAGGCACUCUCGCAGUUCCUCCGCCUUCAGGAAGGUCUUUUCAGCAGGGGCCUUACGGGUGCAUGCUUCGGUCCUGGAGGCCUUAUCCUAGCCUCCUCUCCAUCAGCGCCACCCGUCUGGGGCCCGAAAGGAGGGAGCUUUCCCUCUGUCCCCCAGCCUUUGGACUGUCACUAAACAAGCCAUUCGUUCAUCAAAUACUUUUUAAGCGCCUACCAUGUGCCUGACAAGGGAGAUGUAACGGUGAGAAAAACUAGGUGUGGUCCAGGCCCUUCAGGGGCUCAGGUGCUCGUGGAAGAAGUGGACAUUGAAGUACUUAUCACACAAAUGAGGAUAAAAGUACGAUAACGAUAUCUACCACGAAGCUGUUGUUCCCCACCAGAACCAAAUGAGCGCAAGAUCUGACAAAGAAAAAAAAAGGUUCAUCUUUUAUUCCUCCAAACACUUUCAUUUAAAUCAAGAGGAUGGGAUGUGGUUAUUGCUGUGUUUUUAGACAGAAUCAACGGUUUCUGGGUCUGAGAUGUUGCAUACACCUUCUCAGUCCCUGUAUCCUGAGAUGGAGUCACCUGAGAAUCCACAGCAAGUCCUAACCAGGGAUGGGUCUGGGUGAUUAAGGAAGGUUGGCUUCAGAACUGGGCCAGGGGCACUGCUUUGCUUUUGCUGUUUUGAUCAGCUCUCUGCCUGAAGGAGACAAGAAAAACCAACGGGAACAGCCCAGUAAAGGCGCCAUUCCCCAUUUUACAGCUGGGGAAACUGAGUUACAGAGCUUGUCUGCACUGAGUCAUCAGGAGCAAAUGCUAGAUCAGAUAGGGUCUCUCUCUCUGCCACCCAGGCCAGAGUGCAGUUGACGCAGGGCAGGGGAGCCCCGAAGUGGAGCAUAGUGUGUCCGGAACUGGUGGGUUCUUGGUCUCACUGACUUCAAGAAAGAAGCCGCGGACCCUCGCGAGACGGGGUCUUGCUCUGUUGCUCAAGCUGGA